RNAcentral lists this transfer RNA (67 nucleotides) under Sphenomorphus melanopogon. Its description in RNAcentral is "tRNA-His". It matches the Rfam family "tRNA". From Rfam's summary of the family: Transfer RNA (tRNA) molecules are approximately 80 nucleotides in length. Lineage: Eukaryota; Metazoa; Chordata; Lepidosauria; Squamata; Scincidae. The record is from RNAcentral.
GUUGACAUAGUUUAAUAAAAACAUUAGGUUGUGGACCUAACAACAGAAGUUUAACCCUUCUUGUUGA